AGACUAUCCCUGUCAAAGCUUAUAAUCAAUCCGGUGUAAAUUGAAGGGCUUUCUCUAGCCGAAGCUAUAGCCCUAAGCUGCUUGAUCUGGAGGCUCCGCCGGUGGCCUCAGGAUAUACGCCGGUAGCUCCCAAUCUCACGCCAGUUUCCUUGCAUAAGAUUUUAUUGACGGCGGUGGAGAGCACGAGCUUCUCACCGACAUUCUCUGAUCCCGUCUUGCCCAAUGGUGAGAGGCCCAAAGGACGAAAUCAUACCAUGAUGAGGGUGGGGCGUAGAAUCCAGCUAUGUAUUGAAGAUGGAUCCAGAUUGGUAUUGUGAAGGUGCAAGCAAAGAAGAGAUGAUCAUGGGUCUCGUUGACCAAGUUACAGAGGUGGCAAACCCUCGAUCCAUUAACAUUCCUCAUUCUGCUUCGAUCCAUGGUAGAGAGCCUGCCGUGCACAGCCAGCCAGAGUGUAAUUUUGCAUCUCAGGACAGAAAGUGGACUCCAUAUUUGGUGAUGCCAGUGCUUUGGGGGAUAAUGUUGAAGUAUCCCCAUACACCGAGGCUUCUCCCAUCGCUUUUUUUACUUUCAUAAGAUCAUCCCAAAGCUCACCCAUGUGGGCAUCCUCAACGGGUCCAUAUACACCCAUGAAGGACCAAAUGAACAUCCUUUGAGUUUGUAAUUUGUAAUAUGAUCUGAAACAAAUAGAACCUUCUCCAUUCAUCAGUUUUCUGAUCCACCCUAUUGUCCCACAAAGAAAGAGUACCCAUUGUUGACAACCUCUUCAACAUACCUCGAUCCUAGAUUUUCUCACCUCCAUAGAUGUCACAUCCAUCUUAAUCUCCUGAAGGCAAACAGCUUCUCUCGCUGUUCAUUUUGUAUUGAAUUAAUAAGCGCACCUUGCUUUUAGAAUUUGAAAUAUUAUUGCUUCAUGGUAGAAGCAGGUUUCUCUUGGACUUCCAUAAAUUUUAUAAGCAAACUGUUUGAAGAAGCCUGCUUGGAAGAAGGUUUGAUAUAAAAUGCAUAAUGGGAAACUAUUAGGAUGCUUUUUGGGGAAAUGUUCUGGAAGUAUAAGAGCCAUAGCCAGGCAUCCGGAACACCCAGUGAUAGCCUCAUGCGGACUGGAUAACUAUUUGCGACUUUGGGGUAUAAAGUCGAGACAACUUCUUUCUGCGGUUUUCUUGAAGCAGCAUCUCACAAAUGUUGUUUUUGAUUCAAAUUUUAGCAAUGAAGAGAGGUGGAUUUAGCAUCAGCAACUGUGAAAGAACUGCAUCCUUCCAUGAUGCCUUGAGAUAGUCCUAUCUAACAAAAUGAAAAUGGAGUCGCUUGCAAAACUUGGGAGUCAUCAACAAAGGUCUCCCCGAAGGAAAUUUUGUAUAUGAUAUUACCAUAAAUGAACAUUAAUUCAACUGAAUGUCAGCAAAGCCUUUUUCCAACUAUUAGUGGUCAACUACAUGAAACUACUGCUAUCAUAUAUUUCUUAACUAUCUUAAUCUUAGUUUUGGUUUUCACCUUCUUUUAGCAUUACCCUUAAUAAGGACCACGUCAUGUUUCCUGACUUGUGUGAGAUUAUUGGUUGUAGCUGCAUAUGACCAAAACUAUCAUACUCAGUUCUCUCACAUUUUGCUUGCCACCAUAAAAGAACAUUGAACCGCCUAUAUUCUAUUUGUGUUUAUGUUCUGUCCUUUUCCCUACAAUCGUAUUAUCCCAUUAUUCUGAAUACAUAUCUUCGAUAUUGCAUUGCAAAAAGGAAAAAUAGGGAAAUAGUUUUCCAAUAUUCUUCUGCAGGCCUUGUAAAGUUUCUCUCAAAAUCACAUGACCAGAUCCAUUUGGUGACCUGUUGGUUAACUAUAGCAAAGAAUUGCUAGGUUCUGGGGUUUUUUUGUCACAUUCGGAACCAAUCACAUUUGUUGGUUUUCAGUUGCAAUGCAAAGAGUUAAACUUCUGCUGCAUGUCCUAUCAUGAACUUUUCCGGAUCUUGUCUUUGGGUUAGGUUUGGAUUGGACUUAUCCACUUGCUUGGCUUGAUGGUCUGCUAGCUCCUCUUUCCCGCCUCUUCUUUGUUGUUCUUGCCCCCUUUUAUUUUUUAUUUUUUAUUUUUUAUUUAUGGUACUGAAUAUUUAGGAAUCCUGUAAACUUGAUCUUUUGUGGUGUUUAAUUCUGAUUGGUCCAAGUGUACUGUGUGUCAAUUCUGCUUAAACAGAAGUUUUUGGCGGUUUACCUCCCAUUGAAGCUCCAGAUGUAGAUGGAAUAUUAAUCGGCCGGGAAGAAUCUCUGCCUGUAAAAAGAAAAAAGGCAUCCAAAGAAAACAGCGGAAGCAAGAAGAGUAAAACCAAGAAAAAGAGCAAAAAGGCAAAAGGAAAGAGCAUUUACAUGUCCUUUAUAGAUAUACUGCAUACUUUAUUUUUUAUGGAUUUCAAUUCUGAUUGGUCUAAGCAUGUGAAUUUUGCUUAAACAAAAGUUUUUGGCGAUGUACCUCCCAUUGAAGCAGCGGAUGUAGAUGAAAUAUUAAUUAAUGGGGAAGAAUCACGUUCUGUAAAAAGAAAAAAAGCAUCCAAAAAGGUAAAACCAAGAAGAGCAGCAAAAAUAUAGAAAGGCAAGAGCAUUGAUGUGUCGUGAUCCGGACACUGUUUUUUCCAUUCCAUUGCCUAUUUGAUAAGGGGAUACUGGACGGGUCUAGACAUAUUAACCUUGGCAUUCACACACUCGAAAAGGCGGAAUGAACUGAGCAAAUGACAGUUGAAGUGUUCAUAUACGUGUUUCGCAUCCAAGUUAUUGAUGCAUGUGUAUGGAGAAACAACAGGUUGUAGAUUGGCAAGUUCGAGAGGUGGUUGAUUUUGUUAUUGUGAUCUCAAGGUUCUGCUUUUGUGCGUUGCUUGGCCUGUUAGCGAAGUUUUGUUUCAUAUUCCAAAAAUGGAAUACAAUCGUGUCAGUACUAUACCAACAAGAAUAGUCCACAAUUUUUGUACCAUAACUUUCUCAAAUGAUGAUUGUAGCAUUUUAAAUAUUUGAGCUUUGAGUAUUUGAACUCUUUGGGUUAAGAUUCAUUUAAGGCCAUUUUCAUGAUUAGUAAUCGCCAAAUCAUAGUUAUCUGGUAAACUCUUGGGCAUGUGUUUUUGCUUUUUAGCAUUUUCAGGAACUAAAUAUGACACACAUAUCUAGAGGUGUUAUUGUUAUGCAUGUUCUAAAUUCUUAUUGGGUUGGGCUUUGAUUUGUAAUGGUUUAUAGUUAAGAACUUCAUUAAUGAUGGUGGAUUUUUCUUUCCAUGGAGGUAGGCUGGGUGGAGCGAAACCAUGUUAAAUAUUGUGUUAUUGUUGUUUUGCGAUUGAAUU
Molecule: RNA transcript, 3310 nt
Organism: Cornus florida
Lineage: Eukaryota; Viridiplantae; Streptophyta; Magnoliopsida; Cornales; Cornaceae
Exons: 6
Source: RefSeq, a predicted model, not a curated record